This 270-nucleotide ribosomal RNA is filed under the name uncultured bacterium. RNAcentral's name for it is "partial 16S ribosomal RNA". It matches the Rfam family "Bacterial small subunit ribosomal RNA", at positions 524 to 794 of the family's 1533-position model. The record is from RNAcentral.
UACGUAGGGGGCAAGCGUUGUCCGGAAUUAUUGGGCGUAAAGCGCGCGCAGGCGGCUAUUUAAGUUUGGUGUAUAAUCCCGGGGCUCAACCCCGGGCCGCACCGAAAACUGGGUGGCUUGAGUGCGGGAGAGGAAAGUGGAAUUCUACGUGUAGCGGUGAAAUGCGUAGAGAUGUGGAGGAACACCAGUGGCGAAGGCGACUUUCUGGACCGUAACUGACGCUGAGGCGCGAAAGCGUGGGGAGCAAACAGGAUUAGAUACCCGAGUAGU